GGAUGUCUGAUGGAGUGGACUAGCUCUCUGUCUUAGCAAUCUAAGAGAGGCUCGGAUGUCUCCGAGGUUGCUGACGAGUCCACUGUUGUCGGGUGUCUUGGGCGCUGAUGCUGCAGGCGGAAGUCACCUACUGUAGAAGCUCGGAUGGAGAUUUUCUAUUGGAGAACUUUCUGUUGGCGAAGUCCGACAGGAGUCUGAUUGCUAGAGAAG
Molecule: long non-coding RNA, 210 nt
Filed under: Elaeis guineensis (African oil palm)
Lineage: Eukaryota; Viridiplantae; Streptophyta; Magnoliopsida; Arecales; Arecaceae
Description: long non-coding RNA (EGUI_LNC047338)
Source: RNAcentral